GGAGGCCCGGGUGGGUACCCGGCGCUCCGGCUCCCAGUCUCCUGGGCUUCUCCAGUCCUUCAGCGCCGUUCUCCGGUCACAGGGAAUGAAAGCGAGGAAGAAGGAAACGGUGUCGAGAAUUGCGAAGAGAGAAAGCAUAGAAAACCCACAUUAGAGGCACUCCCAGAGCAGAAACCCUUCGGAGCAUCCCGACUUCCUCGGCCCGCGUGCAAUCCAGGCAAAAUUGAGGUUGUCUCUGAGCCGCCCUCCCUAAGCAGGUCGGAAAGCCCCCGAAUCAUCCCAGGUCCCGCCGCGCUGCACUCGCAACCUGGGGUGGAGGUCCCUCUAGUGGUUGGCACCAAACAAAAGUUCUGUCUUAUGAAGAGCCGAGGUCAGGAAGCAUUUCCCUGUGCCCAGCGCCAAGGUCUGGGACCUUAGGUCCAAGAAAAGCGUUGGCAAUGUCUGACCACAGGAAUGGGUUCUCGAACUGGGGAGGACUGAAGCUGGAGAUCUGGUCCAGCCCCUACCUCCAGCGUGUGGCCUGAACCCGUUUUGGUUGUACUGCUAUGUUGUGGCCCUGCCCAGGCCUCCAAGGACUGGCUGCUGUUAAGCUGUUUAAAAUCCCUGUAGGCCUCAGAUGGCAGCGACACCAGGGACUCGGCAUAGUCCCCAGCUCUGGCAGGAGUCACCACAGCCCUAGCCUUUAGUUCUCUACAGGCUGGAGUGUCGACAAACUCCACAGGACACAACUUUUUCAAACCAAAUUUACCCUCGCGGUCUGAAAUGACCAGUAGGCCCAGGAGAAUUUUAC
RNAcentral lists this long non-coding RNA (790 nucleotides) under Homo sapiens (human). Its description in RNAcentral is "LHRI_LNC1804.1". The record is from RNAcentral. Lineage: Eukaryota; Metazoa; Chordata; Mammalia; Primates; Hominidae.